Molecule: ribosomal RNA, 254 nt
Filed under: uncultured bacterium
Lineage: Bacteria
Description: partial 16S ribosomal RNA
Rfam family: Bacterial small subunit ribosomal RNA
Source: RNAcentral
UACGAAGGGGGCUAGCGUUGCUCGGAAUCACUGGGCGUAAAGCGCACGUAGGCGGACUCUUAAGUCGGUGGUGAAAUCCUGGAGCUCAACUCCAGAACUGCCUUUGAUACUGAGGAUCUUGAGUUCGGGAGAGGUGAGUGGAACUGCGAGUGUAGAGGUGAAAUUCGUAGAUAUUCGCAAGAACACCAGUGGCGAAGGCGGCUCACUGGCCCGAUACUGACGCUGAGGCACGAAAGCGUGGGGAGCAAACAGGG